GACGAACGCUGGCGGCGUGCUUAACACAUGCAAGUCGAACGGAAAGGCCCUGCUUUUGUGGGGUGCUCGAGUGGCGAACGGGUGAGUAACACGUGAGUAACCUGCCCUUGACUUUGGGAUAACUUCAGGAAACUGGGGCUAAUACCGGAUAGGAGCUCCUGCUGCAUGGUGGGGGUUGGAAAGUUUCGGCGGUUGGGGAUGGACUCGCGGCUUAUCAGCUUGUUGGUGGGGUAGUGGCUUACCAAGGCUUUGACGGGUAGCCGGCCUGAGAGGGUGACCGGCCACAUUGGGACUGAGAUACGGCCCAGACUCCUACGGGAGGCAGCAGUGGGGAAUAUUGCACAAUGGGCGGAAGCCUGAUGCAGCAACGCCGCGUGCGGGAUGACGGCCUUCGGGUUGUAAACCGCUUUCGCCUGUGACGAAGCGUGAGUGACGGUAAUGGGUAAAGAAGCACCGGCUAACUACGUGCCAGCAGCCGCGGUGAUACGUAGGGUGCGAGCGUUGUCCGGAUUUAUUGGGCGUGAAGGGCUCGUAGGUGGUUGAUCGCGUCGGAAGUGUAAUCUUGGGGCUUAACCCUGAGCGUGCUUUCGAUACGGGUUGACUUGAGGAAGGUAGGGGAGAAUGGAAUUCCUGGUGGAGCGGUGGAAUGCGCAGAUAUCAGGAGGAACACCAGUGGCGAAGGCGGUUCUCUGGGCCUUUCCUGACGCUGAGGAGCGAAAGCGUGGGGAGCGAACAGGCUUAGAUACCCUGGUAGUCCACGCUGUAAACGGUGGGUACUAGGUGUGGGGUCCAUUCCACGGGUUCCGUGCCGUAGCUAACGCUUUAAGUACCCCGCCUGGGGAGUACGGCCGCAAGGCUAAAACUCAAAGGAAUUGACGGGGCCCCGCACAAGCGGCGGAGCAUGCGGAUUAAUUCGAUGCAACGCGUAGAACCUUACCUGGGUUUGACAUGGAUCGGGAGUGCUCAGAGAUGGGUGUGCCUCUUUUGGGGUCGGUUCACAGGUGGUGCAUGGCUGUCGUCAGCUCGUGUCGUGAGAUGUUGGGUUAAGUCCCGCAACGAGCGCAACCCUUGUUCACUGUUGCCAGCACGUUAUGGUGGGGACUCAGUGGAGACCGCCGGGGUCAACUCGGAGGAAGGUGGGGAUGACGUCAAGUCAUCAUGCCCCUUAUGUCCAGGGCUUCACGCAUGCUACAAUGGCUGGUACAGAGAGUGGCGAGCCUGUGAGGGUGAGCGAAUCUCGGAAAGCCGGUCUCAGUUCGGAUUGGGGUCUGCAACUCGACCUCAUGAAGUCGGAGUCGCUAGUAAUCGCAGAUCAGCAACGCUGCGGUGAAUACGUUCCCGGG
Molecule: ribosomal RNA, 1343 nt
Filed under: uncultured bacterium
Lineage: Bacteria
Description: 16S ribosomal RNA
Rfam family: Bacterial small subunit ribosomal RNA
Source: RNAcentral